CAGCAGCCGCGGUAAGACAGAGGAUGCAAGUGUUAUCCGGAAUGAUUGGGCGUAAAGCGUCUGUAGGUGGCUUUUCAAGUCUGUUGCCAAAUCCCAGGGCUCAACCCUGGACAGGCGGUGGAAACUACCUAGCUGGAGUACGGAAGGGGCAGAGGGAAUUUCCGGUGGAGCGGUGAAAUGCGUUGAGAUCGGAAAGAACACCAUUGGCGAAAGCACUCUACUGGGCCGACACUGACAUUGAGAGACGAAAGCUAGGGGAGCAAAUGGGAUUAGAUACCCGAGUAGUCCCUGUCUCUUAUAC
Molecule: ribosomal RNA, 301 nt
Filed under: uncultured bacterium
Lineage: Bacteria
Description: partial 16S ribosomal RNA
Rfam family: Bacterial small subunit ribosomal RNA
Source: RNAcentral